RNAcentral lists this ribosomal RNA (497 nucleotides) under uncultured bacterium. Its description in RNAcentral is "partial 16S ribosomal RNA". It matches the Rfam family "Bacterial small subunit ribosomal RNA", at positions 28 to 507 of the family's 1533-position model. The record is from RNAcentral.
GAUGAACGCUGGCGGCGUGCCUAAUACAUGCAAGUCGAGCGAACAGACGAGGAGCUUGCUCCUCUGACGUUAGCGGCGGACGGGUGAGUAACACGUGGAUAACCUACCUAUAAGACUGGGAUAACUUCGGGAAACCGGAGCUAAUAGCGGAUAAGAUGCUGAACCGCAGGGGUCAACAGUGAAAGACGGUCUUGCUGUCACUUAUAGAGGGACACGGGCCGCAUUAGCUAGUUGGUAAGGUAACGGCUUACCAAGGCAACGAUGCGUAGCCGACCGCAGAGGGUGAUCGCCGACCCUGGAACGUAACCGCGCUCCAUACUCCUGCGGUACGCACCAGUCGGCUACCGGCCGCAGUGGUCGAGAGCCUUACGGAGUAACCGCACGUGAGUUGCAGCGGUGCUCGGAUCGUGAUGCCCUCCUAUUGGGGGAGAACAGCUUUGUACGUUGCUAUUCCCUUCGUGACGGUACCUAGUCAGAAAGCCCCGGCUAACUACGUG